This 225-nucleotide long non-coding RNA is filed under the name Elaeis guineensis (African oil palm). RNAcentral describes it as "long non-coding RNA (EGUI_LNC006899)". The record is from RNAcentral. Lineage: Eukaryota; Viridiplantae; Streptophyta; Magnoliopsida; Arecales; Arecaceae.
AUUGCUUGAAUGACUGGAGAUGAAUUACCAUAAAGGUAGAAUUCAUGCAAGUUAUGAUAAUGAUUGUUCCCAUGGUAAAAUAGAUUCAUACUCAAACCGCACGUUCUUUGGGACCCUUUUGAGAUUACAAUUAUGAAUCUUAGCAAUUUUUUUUUUCCAUAUAAUUGGAAGGAGCUUUCCUAAAGCUAUUUCUCGAAUAUUUGUAAUUGUAGAGGAUGGUGCCGG